CACAGUAGUGCGUACAUCAACUAAAGUACAGGAAAAUAACAAUAGUAACAGCUGUCGCUACACAAAGAGUACACUGAAAAUAGCCUUCCCGUUCAAUGUAACUUUGAUGCCUCGGUUGUCGUCUUUGAAUAGUCACGUUCCCGUAACUAUGGGCUGCGUAGCAACAGUAAUGUAUUAUCAUGUUGACUUUUGUAUCGGACACGGAAGGUUAUGCAACAUUUCCGGAUAAUGGGCGAUAUUACAGUGAUCGGUCUUUGGCUCUAUCCUGUGAAAAUGGAUUGGGUACUGAGAGGCAUCCUUAUCCCCAGCCUCCGGGGAUUCUGUGUAACAACACAGACUGGCUGUGGCCUGAAGGGACCAUUUUUGCAGGUAAAAUAGGCAUGUGUGUAUCCAGCAUCAAGCAAUCCAAUGUUAUAAUAAAAAUAACAAAAUUUUUUAGUAAUACUUUUACUUAUUAUUAAAUGUUGGUAAUCGUGUCAGAAAAUGCUUUUUCUAAUUAUACAGAAAAUUUUAAAAGUAUUUUUUUUCAUUUUAAAGUAGUAUUUGGCUCGAAAUAUUUUUUAUGACAAGAUUAAAAAUGAAUACUGAAAAUACAUUUAUUUUUGAAUAAGCGACGGGAGAGGAAGUGACGUUAUGUGCUUACCGGAACCCAUAAUUCUAAUAAAUCUAUCGCCAUCACACACGAUCGCCACGCCAACGGCUUCAAACCUGAAAUUACUGGUUGGCGGCGAUUUAAAUAGGCAAGAUUGUGGUACCUACAUAUUCGUGAGGGAUUAUGAUUCUCCCUACCACCGGUACUGAAAUAGUAAAUGCAAAAAGUAUUUAACACAUAUAGAAUAAUAUUUAUGAAAAUGAAUAAUGACUUUAACGUAGUAAUUUAACAAACAAGACCAUAAAAAGUUAUAUUUGUUGUUUUUACCUACAUACAUAUAUUAUGUCGGAACAUAA
Long non-coding RNA from Bombyx mori (domestic silkworm), 948 nucleotides. RefSeq lists it as uncharacterized. The record is from RefSeq and is a predicted model, not a curated record. The transcript is spliced from 2 exons. Lineage: Eukaryota; Metazoa; Arthropoda; Insecta; Lepidoptera; Bombycidae.